This 774-nucleotide ribosomal RNA is filed under the name uncultured Neocallimastigales. RNAcentral describes it as "partial large subunit ribosomal RNA". It matches the Rfam family "Eukaryotic large subunit ribosomal RNA", at positions 23 to 621 of the family's 3401-position model. Lineage: Eukaryota; Fungi; Neocallimastigomycota; Neocallimastigomycetes; Neocallimastigales. The record is from RNAcentral.
AGAGAUGUGUGAUGACGCAUAUCAAUAAGCGGAGGAAAAGAAACUAACAAGGAUUCCCUUAGUAACGGCGAGUGAAGCGGGAAGAGCUCAAAUUUGAAAUCUUCAGGGUUCUACCUUGACGAAUUGUAGUUUAAAGAAGUGUUUUCUGUUGGAGUUUUGGUAAAAGUUCUUUGGAAUAGGACAUCAUAGAGGGUGAGAAUCCCGUAUUUGACCAUUAUUUUCAGCUGUGUGAUACACUUUCAAAGAGUCGGAUUGUUUGGGAAUGCAGUCCAAAAUGGGUGGUAAAUUUCAUCUAAAGCUAAAUAUUGGCGAGAGACCGAUAGCGAACGAGUACCGUGAGGGAAAGAUGAAAAGAACUUUGAAAAGAGAGUUAAACAGUACGUGAAAUUGUCAAAAGGGAAGCGUUUGACACCAGUGUUGUUUUCUCGAAAAUCAAUUAAAAAAGGCCGGAUUUUGUGUUGUAUUGACCUUAAAAGCUUUCUUCACUCUUUUCUUGUCUUUUUUAAUGCACUUUUCGUUUAACAAGUCAACAUCAGUUUCUUUUGUUGUAAAAGGGUCAUUGGAAGGUGGCUUUCUUUUCGGAGAAAGUGUUUAUAGCCUUUGAUCUCUGCAACCGGAGAGACUGAGGUCUGCAGCGUAGACUCUUCGGGGUUAGAUACAUUUGUGCUAAGCUAUAGCUUUUUAUAGACAACUUGUUGACUAUAUUUAGUCUUGUGGCUUACUCGCUUAUGCUAUUUUACCUACGCUUAGGAUGUUGAACUACUGAGACAUAGA